Non-coding RNA from Oryctolagus cuniculus (rabbit), 2269 nucleotides. Lineage: Eukaryota; Metazoa; Chordata; Mammalia; Lagomorpha; Leporidae. The record is from RefSeq and is a predicted model, not a curated record.
CUCACCGGCACUUGAAGUCGCAGGAGCCGGCCGCCAGGAGCACGUUGUUGGGGUGCCAGUCCAGGCUGAGGACGGUGGAGCGGAUGGGCUUCUUGAUGUGCUUGCAUACCCACCUGGACGGGCAGGGGCAGACACGGCAGAAUGGGAACAGGAAUCCUGCCUCCCCCUGGAUGUGCCGAGACGGUGAGACAGGAUCUGCCACACCCGGCACCCCACAGGUGGCCACGAUGUGGCACCCCCUGGCCGCUACAGCGUGAUGGCACCCAGCCAGACCAGUGCUGAAGCACAGACACGCUCCCGCCUCAGGCGUCCACACUGGCUGUCCCCGCGGCCUGCGACACUCUUCCCUCUGCACCUGCUGCUGUGCCACCCUAGGCUCCAGUGCCACCUUCCAGGGAGCCGUCCCCAGCCCAGCUCAGCCUCGCCUGCGGAUACGGCGAGUACACACCUUCAUUCAUGCUUCUUAUCUGGUUCACUUCCUGCCCCCAGGGCUGCAAGCCUGGCACUCGGUAGAUAAUCUUUCUCGUCUCCCUGCCGGAGUUCUCAGCCUUACACAGCUAUUUUAAACACCAGCAGCCUACAUCCACCAAGGCGGCUCGGGCAGGAAUGCCUCGGCCACGCUGGGUGGGAGACGCUGGGCUCCAGCCGCGUCGGUGCCCCCAAGGUGGUGGCACUUGUAACUUGGCUGCCUCCCUCGUCAGACUGGCAGGUGUUUGCGCCCAAGGGCGGCACCUGGGGAGGCUGCAGCUCACCUUGGGACAGGGGCCGGGACUGGACCAGGAGCCCCGGUGCCCACCUGGCCCCUCGAGAGCUGCCGGCUCGGUUGGAGCUGGCCCAGGGGGCGCUGCUGAUCUCACAGACACCUGGUUUCCCUCACCGGGGGUGUGUGUGUGUGUGUGUGUGUGUGUGUGCCGACUUCAGACCCAGGUGGGAGGCAGGGGCUGCGGCGCCCAGGGCUCAGGGACCAGGCACAGGCACCCGAGGAUGCCCAGCAGAGCCCGGUGAGCCCUGCCCGUCCUGUCCGGCCCCUGACCCCUCAAGGCGAUGCAAGCACUGCUCUCCUUGGUCGCAGGGCCCAGUAGAGUCCCCGGGAGCAGCACAGGGCACGUACAUGCGUGCACACGUGUAGGGGGCGGGGUCGCGUCUGGUUCCCCCAUGCCCAGAGUGAGGUCCCAGGAGGGUCCUCAGCCUGGCUGGACUGGGCCGGGGCCAGACGCAUGCAGCCGCGCGAGCAAGCAGGCGGCCCCCGGGGCGCCACCUCCCUGCCUGUCUCCUCACAAGGUCUCUUUGUGAAGUAGCCACCGGAAGCGCCACCUCAGAACCCUUGGCCAGCCCAGCAGGCUGCUGGGUACCCUGGGCCGGGCAAUGGCUGCUCACAAAGGGGACAGGGCACAGGGGAGGGGUGACCAUGCUCGCCCGCCCCACCCCCACUGCCAAGGUCACCACCCCGGGCAGAAGCAGGCCAAGGCCGGAAGCCCACCUGCAACACUGUGACAUCCGGCCAGGGCCCGGAGGAGGCCAACCCUCCCCCAUCCCACCCCAGCCCGCAACCACAGCCCAGGAAGCAGGAACUGGGGGGCUGGUGGAGCCCAGACUCGGGGGGCAGAUCCCAGUGUCAGGGCCUCGGCUCUCACACACGCCGUGUGCCCCAGGCCGUGAGGACGGAGCACAGCCGCAGGUCCCCGUGGGGGAUACAGCCGAGAGGACUUGGGGAGCACUGUCCCCCAAUUCCUGGCACACACAGGUUCUCAGUGGGGGCAGGAGGUUCAGGGGGAGCCUAUGUGCCAAUCACACUGCGGCAGGAACUGAAACAGAACCCACCCCUUAAAUGGGCAGGGCAGAGACAAGGGGGUGGCAGAGAGGAACGGUCCACUUCCCCAUGUGGGUGGCUCCCGCGGGGGCUCAGCGAUGACGCCCCGGCUGCAGCUUGGACUAAGGAGGAAGUGGGAGUCAGAGGGCUGAGCGGGGGCUCCAGACAGACCUGGGAAGCAGCCCCCAAGCCCCGCCUUUCUGCCCACGACUCACUCCUUCUCAAGAAGUCCCCUAAGCCUAGGACACGGCACAGGGGCCGGGUGGGGCAGGCCCGCCCGCUGCCAGCCCCCUACUGCAAGAAUGCAGCUGGGGCUGUGCCUACCGCAUCAGCACUCAGCCGUGGCGCCGCGGGAGGCAAAGGCUGGUGGUGGCCGUGGCCCCCAGGACUCCCAGCCACACAUCACCAUGGCCUCCUUGGCUGCUGAACUAGAGGGGGGGGGCUCUUUCAAGGCUGUGC